CCCUUAGACGUUCUGGGCCGCACGCGCGCUACACUGGCACAGGCAACGAGCUUUCCUUUACCGAAAGGUAUGGGUAAUCUUUUGAAACUGUGUCGUGCUGGGGAUAGAUCCUUGCAAUUUUUGAUCUUAAACGAGGAAUUCCUAGUAAGCGCGAGUCAUCAACUCGCGUUGAUUACGUCCCUGCCCUUUGUACACACCGCCCGUCGCUACUACCGAUUGAAUGGCUUAGUGAGGCCUCAGGAUCCGCGCUUAAUGUGUGGAGAAUUUGGACAAACUACGUCAUUUAGAGGAAGUAAAAGUCGUAACA
Molecule: ribosomal RNA, 307 nt
Filed under: uncultured eukaryote
Lineage: Eukaryota
Description: partial 18S ribosomal RNA
Rfam family: Eukaryotic small subunit ribosomal RNA
Source: RNAcentral